GUUUAGAACGUCGUGAGACAGUUCGGUCCCUAUCUGCCGUGGACGUUUGAGAUUUGAGAGGGGCUGCUCCUAGUACGAGAGGACCGGAGUGGACGAACCUCUGGUGUUCCGGUUGUCACGCCAGUGGCAUUGCCGGGUAGCUAUGUUCGGAAAAGAUAACCGCUGAAAGCAUCUAAGCGGGAAACUUGCCUCAAGAUGAGAUCUCACUGGGAACUUGAUUCCCCUGAAGGGCCGUCGAAGACUACGACGUUGAUAGGCUGGGUGUGUAAGCGUUGUGAGGCGUUGAGCUAACCAGUACUAAUUGCCCGUGAGGCUUGACCAU
This 322-nucleotide ribosomal RNA is filed under the name Pseudomonas aeruginosa. RNAcentral's name for it is "bacterial LSU rRNA". It matches the Rfam family "Bacterial large subunit ribosomal RNA", at positions 2609 to 2925 of the family's 2925-position model. RNAcentral also lists the same sequence under 7 other names. The record is from RNAcentral. Lineage: Bacteria; Pseudomonadati; Pseudomonadota; Gammaproteobacteria; Pseudomonadales; Pseudomonadaceae.